RNAcentral lists this ribosomal RNA (364 nucleotides) under Yamadazyma mexicana. Its description in RNAcentral is "eukaryotic LSU rRNA". It matches the Rfam family "Eukaryotic large subunit ribosomal RNA", at positions 77 to 442 of the family's 3401-position model. Lineage: Eukaryota; Fungi; Ascomycota; Pichiomycetes; Serinales; Debaryomycetaceae. The record is from RNAcentral.
GCCUUAGUAGCGGCGAGUGAGCGGCAUAGCUCAAUUUGAAUCUGGCACCUUCGGUGUCCGAGUUGUAAUUUGAAGAAGGUAUCUUUGGUUUUGGCUCUUGUCUAUGUUCCUUGGAACAGGACGUCACAGAGGGUGAGAAUCCCGUGCGAUGAGAUGCCCAAUUCCAUGUAAAGUUCCUUCGACGAGUCGAGUUGUUUGGGAAUGCAGCUCUAAGUGGGUGGUAAAUUCCAUCUAAAGCUAAAUAUUGGCGAGAGACCGAUAGCGAACAAGUACUGUGAAGGAAAGAUGAAAAGAACUUUGAAAAGAGAGUGAAAAAGUACGUGAAAUUGUUGAAAGGGAAGGGCUUGAGGUCAGACUUGGUUUU